Molecule: ribosomal RNA, 253 nt
Filed under: uncultured bacterium
Lineage: Bacteria
Description: partial 16S ribosomal RNA
Rfam family: Bacterial small subunit ribosomal RNA
Source: RNAcentral
UACAGAGGUCUCAAGCGUUGUUCGGAUUCAUUGGGCGUAAAGGGUGCGUAGGUGGCGCCGUAAGUCAGGUGUGAAAUUUCGGAGCUUAACUCCGAAACUGCAUUUGAUACUGCGGUGCUUGAGGACUGGAGAGGAGACUGGAAUUCAUGGUGUAGCAGUGAAAUGCGUAGAGAUCAUGAGGAAGACCAGUGGCGAAGGCGGGUCUCUGGACAGUUCCUGACACUGAGACACGAAGGCCAGGGGAGCAAACGGG